Molecule: ribosomal RNA, 432 nt
Filed under: uncultured bacterium
Lineage: Bacteria
Description: partial 16S ribosomal RNA
Rfam family: Bacterial small subunit ribosomal RNA
Source: RNAcentral
CCUACGGGAUGCAGCAGUGGGGAAUAUUGGACAAUGGGGGAAACCCUGAUCCAGCGAUGCCGCGUGGGUGAAGAAGGCCUUCGGGUUGUAAAGCCCUUUAGAUCGGGAAGCGGUACCGGUAGAAUAAGCACCGGCAAACUCUGUGCCAGCAGCCGCGGUAAUACAGAGGGUGCGAGCGUUAAUCGGAGUUACUGGGCGUAAAGGGCGCGUAGGCGGUAUGAUGAGUGCGAUGUGAAAGCCCCGGGCUUAACCUGGGAAGUGCAUCGCAAACUAUCAAACUAGAGUAUAUGAGAGGGUGGCGGAAUUUCCGGUGUAGCGGUGAAAUGCGUAGAGAUCGGAAGGAACGUCAAUGGCGAAGGCAGCCACCUGGCAUAAACUGACGCUGAGGCGCGAAAGCGUGGGGAGCGAACAGGAUUAGAUACCCUUGUAGUC